UAAUACAUAAGUAACCUGCCCUAGACAGGGGGAGUAACUAUUGGAAACGAUAGCUAAGACCGCAUAGGUACGGACACUGCAUGGUGACCGUAUUAAAAGUGCCUCAAAGCACUGGUAGAGGAUGGACUUAUGGCGCAUUAGCUGGUUGGCGGGGUAACGGCCCACCAAGGCGACGAUGCGUAGCUGACCUGAGAGGGUGACCGGCCACACUGGGACUGAGACACGGCCCAG
This 231-nucleotide ribosomal RNA is filed under the name uncultured bacterium. RNAcentral describes it as "partial 16S ribosomal RNA". It matches the Rfam family "Bacterial small subunit ribosomal RNA", at positions 111 to 334 of the family's 1533-position model. The record is from RNAcentral.